AAUGUAAAAUUCAAAGGCUGCUGGGUGACCUGAGGGAAAAAAUGCUUUACCAGCUCUUCAUGCCAAUUAUUCUUUCUCCUAAGAAUUUCUCUCUUCCUAGAACUAGCUCCGCCUCCUACUUACUAGGACAGGAGGCUUAGGGAAACUUAAAGAAUGAUUAGUCAAAAUUCAGUUAGUCGGUAUUCAAUUAGUUGACGAGUUGGAACAUAGAUGUCUUAUCAUAAAUAUUUGUUCCUAAACCUACCAUGCCAUGCCAAAUCUCUUGAGAGGCAUUAGGCACACGCUUGAGGGUCGUCCUGCCCUCAGGGAGCCUGCGGUUAGUAGCUAGUCCUUAAACCGGUAGGAUAUACACCC
RNAcentral lists this long non-coding RNA (354 nucleotides) under Bos taurus (domestic cattle). RNAcentral's name for it is "long non-coding RNA NONBTAT016334". Lineage: Eukaryota; Metazoa; Chordata; Mammalia; Artiodactyla; Bovidae. The record is from RNAcentral.